AAUACUAUACUUUCAGGGGUCAUUCUAUAGUUCAUUACUAAAGAAGUUUCUAUGGCUGUGCAAAGUACCAGAAACCAUGAGGAGGAGGCCUAGCAUGCUCUCCUGAGUGUGAAGUCUGCUCUUGGUAUUGCUUUGUUGCAACUGCCACUUGCCUUUAGAGGAGCUGGAGGAAGAGGAUACAGUCUGAGUGGG
RNAcentral lists this small nucleolar RNA (192 nucleotides) under Jaculus jaculus (lesser Egyptian jerboa). RNAcentral's name for it is "Small nucleolar RNA U3 (ENSJJAG00000006240.1)". It matches the Rfam family "Small nucleolar RNA U3". From Rfam's summary of the family: Small nucleolar RNAs (snoRNAs) are involved in the processing and modification of rRNA in the nucleolus. There are two main classes of snoRNAs: the box C/D class, and the box H/ACA class. The record is from Rfam by way of RNAcentral. Lineage: Eukaryota; Metazoa; Chordata; Mammalia; Rodentia; Dipodidae.